Molecule: non-coding RNA, 2160 nt
Organism: Camellia sinensis
Lineage: Eukaryota; Viridiplantae; Streptophyta; Magnoliopsida; Ericales; Theaceae
Source: RefSeq, a predicted model, not a curated record
AAGUGAUAAGAAAUUGUCUUAGAAAUACAUUUAUAACCAACUAUUCAGAUCAAUAUCAAAAUCUAAGGGCCAAAUAUAUAACAUUGCCUGCCUCUUUGGAUUCCUGCUCAUGAAUACCAAUCACACCUCCCCCUAUCUUUCACAGACGUCCUCCACUCUCUCUCUCUCUCUUCUUGGUUUACCUAUGGCAACUUUGUUGAAAUUCGAGUGCACUAUUUGAUCAAAUACAAGGUAGAUCAGUCGACACAACCAGCGAGAAAGAGAAAGCGCCAUCAAGAUCGAUAUAGGGGGUUCUGAAAUGGACAGUAGGAGAAUUACUACCAGUCCUUGGCUGUGAUGACCGAGAAAGGUUUGAUUGCGUUUCUCAUUUAUAUUAUGUAAUUUGUUUCUCAUUUACAGUGUAAAUUGUUUCUCAUUUACUUCUCACAACCAAGGAUAUUGCCUCAAUUAAAAUUUGUCUCUUUCUCCCUCUAUAUUUUGUGUCUUCAUGCAUACACCAUGUUAGGUAAAAGCCUUAAUUAAAAUAGUUUAUUUUCUUUUGGUUAAACCAGUUGUUUAUAUAAUUCCACCUUUUUGUUGUUCAAAUAGUGAGUGAAUCUAUUAUAACAGACCAAGUAAAUUACUAAACAACCUUUCCAAAAUGUAGUGUGUGGUAGUAAGUUUAGCAAAAACAGAGGUACAUUCAAAUGGGUAAUGCAAACAGUGGGAGUUGGAUAUUAUUUUUAGUAGGCAAUUUUUAGGGAGUUGAUUUUGGAUAAUGGAUAAUGGUGCUUGCUUACUUAUAUUUUCUAUUAUUUGGAAUGACAUAGGCACGAAUUUAUUACGAUCAUUUGAAACUUUCAUUUGGCUCUAAGAUUAAAAAUUUAAAACUUCCACUCUCUCUAUGUGAUGCUUUUAAUUUUAUUUUUGGAGAUAUAGGCCCCCAAAGUCCAUCAAGGACCAAGGUUGAGAGCUGCGAGUUUUCUCUAUUCCAACUGCGCCUUCCAGUAAGUUUCUCCUUUAUUCCCAAUUUUACUACCGUUAAAUUAAGUUCCAUUUGGGUACUCUCUCUCAUGCUUUUGUGUUUUUGUGGGUAUGCUUUCUUUCAUAUUUUGGCUUUGUCAAUUGAUUUGGUAAGCAAUUUCAUCAAAAAAAAAUUUUGUUAACCAAUGCUUUUAUCAAUUGAUGUCAUGAAAUGGUUAUGUAAUAUAUCUUUUUUUGUUUCAAAUUAGAAGGUACUCCCUAUGAUUUUAUUUUUCCUUUAAAAUGAGUGGUUCCUUCGCUACAUAGCCGUGGUGUGUCAACCUCUUAAGCAAUUUCGGUGUUCAUAUUAAUUCAAACCAUGGACAAUAUCAAUAUCAACAUCAAUAUUGAGGCCUAAUUUUUACUUAUUAUUAUAUCUAAUUUCUUCAUAAUAAAAUGCUUUUGUAUCAUGUUUAACAGCUGGACAAACGGGAAUAUUAGAUCCAUAUACCAAUUUUUUUUUUUAUUUAAUCUGCAUGUUCUUAAUAUGAGUUGAACUACAUGUAAAUAUGACAUAACUUUCAUCAUUGUAGUUUUUGUAUGUUUUUUUUCCUCUUAAGUUAUCUGCCAAUUGGGGUUUUGUACUAAAAAGACAAUCUCCAACACUAGAAAAUGUACUGAUACAAUGCCAUCGAAGUUACAAAAACACACACGUACGCUGCAUCUGCAGCUGGUACUCUAAGCAGUUGCUUGUCUUUGGGCCCAUUGUCCUAUGCUACCAUGGUGGUGAACUGAAGGAAGAUUGGUUGCUGAUGGAUUAUUAUGAGAGCUCUACAGCAACUUACCAUUUUCUUUCAAUGGUGGUCAUCCCUGUUCCUAUGCUUCUAGAGACCUCAGCUUCAGCUUUAAUCUUACAAGCCUUACAUCAGUUCACAUUUGCAGCCUUAUUAGCAGCCUUAGUGACACGUGAAUGUGACCCCCCCCCCCAAAAAAAAAAAUUGACAAGUAGUUCUGUUAGCACUUGAUCUUUUCUUGUAACAUGUAGUUUGAAUUGUUCAUCAUCUUUAACAUCUCUUGUGGUCAAAAGUUAUGAAUCUCUUGAUUGCCUAUUGUAAUAUCUCUUCACUUUUACAUAUACAUCAUGCACUUUGAUCAUGUAAUGCAAGUAGUUUUUGUGAAUAUUAUUUGCACAUAGAUUGGCAAGCAUAAGUUAUCGCU